GGAGCACUGAGCUCUCAGCCACCGCGUCUCCUCCACGCUGGCCUCCUACACCUCCCUGGAGCAGACCCUCAGCUUCCCAGACCAGCAAGUUGCAGCAGUCUGUGUUUGAUGCGCAGCAAGCUUCAGAGAGAGCGAACCGUGUGGAGGAAGCGCUGGAGACUUCCAGGAAGCAGCUGGAGGACUAUGAGGACGCUCUGUCGCAGAGAGAAUCCCUGAUUAAAGAGCUGCACGCUGAAGCUGAGAUGCAUCACCACCAGCUCGGUCUGCUCACUCAACUGCAGUCUGAACUGUGCAGUGCCAGAGAAAUGAGCGAGUUCUUGCAGGCGGAAAACGACCUGGCUCGGGAUCAGACGGAGGAGAGUGAGAGACUGCUGCGGGGCCACGUACAGAGCCUGAGAGAGAGAGACUCGGAGUGUGAGGACCUCAGACUAGCGCUGGAGCAGCUCAGGCUGGAGAAGGACUCUCUUCAGGAGGAGCUGGACAGCACACGAGACAAAGCGCGCAGCAUGCUGCUGGAACAAGGAGAGCAGAUGGCUCAGGCGUCCGAAUGAUCUCGUGGUCCUCAACCACAGAGUCUGCCGUCUCACCGGCAUCUUGAAGGAAUCCCUAGCCUCCGAGGAGUCCGAGAGCUCUGAUAAGACAUCGCAGCCUCUCAGACAUCCCUCCAGCUCUUUUGUGGGUUCUGUGAUGGUGGCCAUGAUGAAGACGGCGUCUCCUGAGGGUUCAGAGGAGCAACAAGAAGGCAUCGUCAGUGAAACCAGCGCUUUUACUCGAAUACCACCAUCCACACACACCAGAAGGGAGAGAGGAGAGGCGGAGCCGUAUGGUGGAUCUGUUGUGUGAUUUAGGUGAGAGCGUCUCAGAUCUCCAGCUCACUUUAGACCAGCUGAGGGUCCAGAGAGACGCGGAGCAGCAGACCGUGUGAGUUCCUCAACCUCCGGGUUACUCUGUAGAAGAGUUUCUGCUGUAUGUGGAUAAUAUCUGUUCAUAUUUACCGUGCAUAUAAAUAUAUAACAUUGGACAUGCUUUGAGCAGUUCAGCAGUAGAUGAGACGCCUGUAGUGUUACGUCACAUUAAACACAAUAUUAUUCAAAAGGGUUUGUAGUUUGGUUUUUACUCGAAUCAAAAAUGAAAAUGUCCUCAUGUCACUCUGAGACUUUUCUUCUGCAAGACACAAAAGAAGAUAUUUUGAAGAACAGUGGCAACCAAACUAAAUUGUUGGCCAUUAACUUCCAUUGUAAACAAAAAC
Molecule: long non-coding RNA, 1249 nt
Organism: Cyprinus carpio (common carp)
Lineage: Eukaryota; Metazoa; Chordata; Actinopteri; Cypriniformes; Cyprinidae
Exons: 7
Source: RefSeq, a predicted model, not a curated record